GAUGAACGCUGGCGGCGUGCCUAACACAUGCAAGUCGAGCGGCAGCGAGGGGUGCUUGCACCCUGUCGGCGAGCGGCGGACGGCUGAGUAACGCGUGGGAACGUGCCCCAAAGUGAGGAAUAACUGCCCGAAAGGGUGGCUAAUACCGCAUAUUAUCUUCGGAUCAAAGGAUUUAUCCGCUUUGGGAGCGGCUCGCGUCGGAUUAGGUAGUUGGUGAGGUAAUGGCUCACCAAGCCGACGAUCCGUAGCUGGUCUGAGAGGAUGACCAGCCAGACUGGAACUGAGACACGGUCCAGACUCCUACGGGAGGCAGCAGUGAGGAAUCUUCCACAAUGGGCGAAAGCCUGAUGGAGCAACGCCGCGUGCAGGACAAAGGCCUUCGGGUUGUAAACUGCUUUUAUAAGUGAGGAAUAUGACGGUAACUUAUGAAUAAGGAUCGGCUAACUACGUG
Molecule: ribosomal RNA, 451 nt
Filed under: uncultured bacterium
Lineage: Bacteria
Description: partial 16S ribosomal RNA
Rfam family: Bacterial small subunit ribosomal RNA
Source: RNAcentral